Molecule: non-coding RNA, 121 nt
Organism: Picea glauca (white spruce)
Lineage: Eukaryota; Viridiplantae; Streptophyta; Pinopsida; Pinales; Pinaceae
Source: Rfam
ACAUGCCUACAGCAUAGCUUCAAUGCAUCGGAUCCCAUUAGAACUCUGCAAUUAAACGCGCUCAGGCUAGAGUAGUAUUGGUAUGGGUUACCGCUCGAGAAGUCCUAGUGUUUUACAUGCC